RNAcentral lists this small nucleolar RNA (68 nucleotides) under Salvator merianae (Argentine black and white tegu). RNAcentral's name for it is "Small nucleolar RNA U2-30 (ENSSMRG00000009805.1)". Lineage: Eukaryota; Metazoa; Chordata; Lepidosauria; Squamata; Teiidae. The record is from RNAcentral.
GAGCAAUGAUGAACCUGACAUGUACUGACAGUUAAAUACAUGGAGGUUCUACACUUGAUCUGAGCUCA